This 848-nucleotide ribosomal RNA is filed under the name uncultured eukaryote. RNAcentral's name for it is "bacterial SSU rRNA". It matches the Rfam family "Eukaryotic small subunit ribosomal RNA", at positions 63 to 916 of the family's 1831-position model. The record is from RNAcentral.
GAAUAAGCCCCAGAAUGGUGAAUCUGCGAAUGGCUCAUUAAAUCAGUUAUUGUUUAUUUGAUGGUACCUUACUACAUGGAUAUCCGUAGUAAUUCUAGAGUUAAUACAUGCGACCAUCCCCGACUUCGGAAGGGGUGCAUUUAUUAGUUUCAAACCAUCGGCGUUCGCGUCUUUGAUGGUGAGUCAUAAUAACUGAGCGAAUCGAAUGGCCUUGUGCCGUCGAUGCUUCAUUCAAAUUUCUGCCCUAUCAGCUUUCGAUGGUAGGAUCUUGGCCUACCAUGGCUAUAACGGGUAACGGGGAAUUAGGGUUCGAUUCCGGAGAGGGAGCUUGAGAAACGGCUACCACAUCCAAGGAUGGCAGCAGGCGCGCAAAUUACCCAAUCCCGAUACGGGGAGGUAGUGACAAUAAAUAGCAAUGCUAGACUAAUUUUAGUCCGGCAAUUGGAAUGAGAGCAAUUUAAACCCAUCAUCGAGGAGCCAUUGGAGGGCAAGUCUGGUGCCAGCAGCCGCGGUAAUUCCAGCUCCAAUAGCGUAUAUUAAAGUUGUUGCAGUUAAAAAGCUCGUAGUCUGACCGUUGAUCGGUGAUGAGCGUCCGUGGCUACUGGUCAUGUGUACGCGAGUCACUGUUCACUACCUUCGGAGGAGCGUACGUGCUUUUAACUAAGUGCGUGCGGGAUUCCGAUAGUUUACUUUGAGAAAAAUAGAGUGUUCAAAGCAGGCGUUUGCCUUGAAUACAUUAGCAUGGGAUAAUGAAAUAGGACGUUGGUUCUAUUUUGAUGGUUUACGGACCGACGUAAUGAUUAAUAGGGACAGUUGGGGACAUUUAUAUUCCAUGGCUAGAGGUGAAA